AUCCCUAAUUUUUUUUUAAAGAUAUGACAAUUUGCAUUUGCCUACAAGCCUCAUGGCAAAGAAUGUUUAAUCCCCCUAAAGUCCAAUUAAUUAUAAAUAAGUAAUGCAUUUACUUUUUUAUUGAAGAAACCACAUGGAAACGUUUUCUAACAUAAACCAAAAAAUAAAUGAAUUUAAACACUUAUCAAUGAUUCAUCCAUCAGUGCCAUAGCUGAACUUUAAAGCAUUUGAGAAAAUACAAACACAAAUACCAAAUGAACAUCAUGAUUUCACAGAAACAAAUAAAAAAUAAUUGACCCUAUUAGAUCCAAAAUCAACUUGUGGAGCUGAAAUAACAGAAAUAUCUUUUAAUCAACGAUGAACAUGACCACAAAGAGACUACCAUGAGUCACAAGGUUGAUCUUUAUAGAUACUAAAACAACUUAAAAGUACAAAAGUUUUUAAUGGUGAAAACCCAUAAAAUUAUUGAAUUAAUUUAGAAGUGAAACAAACUGUUAAGUGAUAUACCAUAUCUUGCAAUUGACUUUUAAAUUUGAAAUAACAAUAAAACAAUAAAAACUACAAAAUCAUGUAAAGCUAAAUUUUUGAUGGAGGAAUAUAUUGUUGAUGUAGCUGUUGAUAUCCGCUGGAGUCCAACCUCAGCAGCUCAACAAAUAAGACCGAGGUCCGACCUCGCCAACUCCAGUGAUGGGUGAUUCUCGAAGUCUGCCAGUAAUUUAUUGUGAUUUACAAAAGCUGAAUUUGCCGGAGGACUGCGAGAAGUGAGAAUUAUCGCUUGUGAUGACAAAAUGUGACCUGUAGAAUAUAUUUUAAAGCAGUCGUAAUGGUUUGUCUUGAUGAAAAAUCUUGGAAAUUUCCAAAGACGAACUCCAUCCAAAAAAUCUACUAAGACUGCCAAAAGGCUUAGCUUCAGGAUGAAUUUAUGCCCACUCAUCCCUCAAAAAUUACCCGAUAAAAAUAUAAUACGGAUGGGAACAUGUCAACCGACUACCAGCAUAACACUUGGGAAAAGAAGGAAUCAAACAAGCAAAUUACUUUUACAUAAAUAAGUAAAUAAAAUGAAAAACACUAUUGGGACCCAUAGGAGCGAGCAUCUUAGAAAAGAAGACAAAGUAAGAGCAUGGAAACAACAAGAAUCACUGACUGGACAGCAAUCCAAGAAACGACAUAAUGCAUCAAAAGAAGCACAAAGAGAUACUGAAUCAUAACAAGGAAGAACAAAACCCCAAGUGUGUAAACCAUGUACAAAACCGCAUGAGAUGACCAAUCAAACCACCGACUUAAACAAUUUAUUCAUAGAUAUACUCUUGAAGUCUCCCUGUUGAUGUAGUUUUGUCCCCUCGUAAACCCAUCACUGAAGAUGGCGAGAAGCCAAAACAAAUAUGAGACAUAACAAGAAAAGUCAGGUCAAAAUGAUCAGACCCAACCGAACUACAGGUUAAUUACUCUGAAGACCCACGAAGAAAUUUCCAAGUGUUUUAGUUAAAAAAUUAGUAAAAACUAUAAUG
Long non-coding RNA from Cimex lectularius (bed bug), 1508 nucleotides. RefSeq lists it as uncharacterized. The transcript has 5 exons. Lineage: Eukaryota; Metazoa; Arthropoda; Insecta; Hemiptera; Cimicidae. The record is from RefSeq and is a predicted model, not a curated record.